This 508-nucleotide ribosomal RNA is filed under the name uncultured bacterium. RNAcentral's name for it is "partial 16S ribosomal RNA". The record is from RNAcentral.
GGAGUUAGCCGGUGCUUCUUCUGUGAGUGAUGUCCUUCCUGCCGGUUAUUGACCCGCAGGCCUUCUUCCUCACUGAAAGUGCUUUACAACCCGAAGGCCUUCUUCACACACGCGGCAUGGCUGGAUCAGGGUUGCCCCCAUUGUCCAAUAUUCCCCACUGCUGCCUCCCGUAGGAGUCUGGGCCGUGUCUCAGUCCCAGUGUGGCUGAUCAUCCUCUCAGACCAGCUACGGAUCGUCGCCUUGGUGAGCCGUUACCUCACCAACCAGCUAAUCCGACAUAGGCUCAUCCGAUAGCGCGAGGCCCGAAGGUCCCCCGCUUUCCCCCGUAGGGCGUAUGCGGUAUUAGCCUGGGUUUCCCCAGGGUUAUCCCCCACUACCGGGCAGAUUCCUAUGCAUUACUCACCCGUCCGCCGCUCGCCACCAGGGAGCAAGCUCCCCGUGCUGCCGCUCGACUUGCAUGUGUUAGGCCUGCCGCCAGCGUUCAAUCUGAGCCAUGAUCAAACUCUGA